This 254-nucleotide ribosomal RNA is filed under the name uncultured prokaryote. RNAcentral's name for it is "partial 16S ribosomal RNA". It matches the Rfam family "Bacterial small subunit ribosomal RNA", at positions 524 to 777 of the family's 1533-position model. The record is from RNAcentral.
UACGUAGGGGGCGAGCGUUGUCCGGAAUUAUUGGGCGUAAAGGGUGCGCAGGUUGUUUGAUAAGUCAGUGGUGAAAGUCUGUCGCUUAACGGUAGGAUUGCCAUUGAUACUGUUGGACUUGAAUAUGGAUGAGGUAGGCGGAAUGUGUAGUGUAGCGGUGAAAUGCAUAGAUAUUACACAGAACACCGAUUGCGAAGGCAGCUUACUAAUCCAUCAUUGACGCUGAGGCACGAAAGCGUGGGGAUCAAACAGGA